RNAcentral lists this ribosomal RNA (771 nucleotides) under uncultured bacterium. Its description in RNAcentral is "bacterial SSU rRNA". It matches the Rfam family "Bacterial small subunit ribosomal RNA", at positions 28 to 808 of the family's 1533-position model. The record is from RNAcentral.
GACGAACGCUGGCGGCGUGCCUAACACAUGCAAGUCGAGCGGAGACAGUGAGUAGCUUGCUAUGAGCUGUUUUAGCGGCGGACGGGUGAGUAACGCGUGAGCAACCUUUCCCAGACAGGGGAAUAACACACCGAAAGGUGUACUAAUACCGCAUAAGACCACGGAAUCACAUGGUUCUGAGGUAAAAGAUUUAUCGGUUUGGGGUGGGCUCGCGUCCGAUUAGGUAGUUGGUGAGGUAACGGCCCACCAAGCCGACGAUCGGUAGCCGACCUGAGAGGGUGAUCGGCCACAUUGGGACUGAGACACGGCCCAAACUCCUACGGGAGGCAGCAGUGGGGAAUAUUGGGCGAUGGAGGAAACUCUGACCCAGCAACGCCGCGUGGAGGAAGAAGGUUUUCGGAUCGUAAACUCCUGUCCUUGGAGACGAGUAGAAGACGGUAUCCAAGGAGGAAGCCCCGGCUAACUACGUGCCAGCAGCCGCGGUAAUACGUAGGGGGCAAGCGUUGUCCGGAAUAAUUGGGCGUAAAGGGCGCGUAGGCGGCUCGGUAAGUCUGGAGUGAAAGUCCUGCUUUUAAGGUGGGAAUUGCUUUGGAUACUGUCGGGCUUGAGUGCAGGAGAGGUUAGUGGAAUUCCCAGUGUAGCGGUGAAAUGCGUAGAGAUUGGGAGGAACACCAGUGGCGAAGGCGACUAACUGGACUGUAACUGACGCUGAGGCGCGAAAGUGUGGUGAGCAAACAAGAGUAGAUACCCUGGUAGUCCACACUGUAAACG